RNAcentral lists this ribosomal RNA (732 nucleotides) under Triticum aestivum (bread wheat). Its description in RNAcentral is "partial small subunit ribosomal RNA". Lineage: Eukaryota; Viridiplantae; Streptophyta; Magnoliopsida; Poales; Poaceae. The record is from RNAcentral.
AUGGCGGAUGCAAGGAACAAGUUCAUGCAACCGGAUGAAGAUACACCUUUUGGACGACACUUGAAGGAAAUCACUAAGUACCUGAACAUCGGAAUACCAAGCUUCACCGGGACUUACAAAGCUACACUACCAGAAGAGGAGCGCUGGAAGAUUCAAGUUCAAGUUCCAGGAAGGACGUUUACGCCAGUCACUGAGCCUAUAGAGCUUUCCUUUGAUGCACCAACCUGGAGUUUAGGGAAGAGCAUGGCAGCCUACAUCUCUAUGGGACGCAUUGGAGAAGUCUACCACAAGGAGCUUAAGGAUACUAUUUAUCAGAUUUGUGUACGCCGAGAUGAGCAAUGGGAGAUGAUCAGCACCAAGAAGGAUGGAUCAAUUGCAGCUUUCAUCCAGGAGCAAAACCAACACAUUCGUCGCCAGGAGAACCAGAUGUGCGCAGACAUGAUAGAUCUGAGGAAGGCAUUGACCAAGAUCACGGAGUUGGAGGAAGAACUCAUGGCUACGCGCAAGGAUUAUAUGGAGGAAAUCGUUGCACUAGUGAGGAAGAACGACGACCUGACACAGAAGAUUGGAGUAUUCAUGGGAGACCCAGCACCCGGAGGAGAAGAUGACGAUUCUACUUGCCCGGAUAACUACAUCAUCAUCGACGACACCGACUCGGACCCCAGUGAAGAAGAUUUUGUUGAUGAAGCUGGAGCAGAUAUCAUGGAGUCUUCGACCGAUCAAAAUUUCUAG